GACGAACGCUGGCGGCGUGCUUAACACAUGCAAGUCGAACGGAAAGGCCCUGCUUUUGUGGGGUGCUCGAGUGGCGAACGGGUGAGUAACACGUGAGUAACCUGCCCUUGACUUUGGGAUAACUUCAGGAAACUGGGGCUAAUAACGGAUAGGAGCUCCUGCUGCAUGGUGGGGGUUGGAAAGUUUCGGCGGUUGGGGAUGGACUCGCGGCUUAUCAGCUUGUUGGUGGGGUAGUGGCUUACCAAGGCUUUGACGGGUAGCCGGCCUGAGAGGGUGACCGGCCACAUUGGGACUGAGAUACGGCCCAGACUCCUACGGGAGGCAGCAGUGGGGAAUAUUGCACAAUGGGCGGAAGCCUGAUGCAGCACCGCCGCGUGCGGGAUGACGGCCUUCGGGUUGUAACCCGCUUUCGCCUGUGACGAAGCGUGAGUGACGGUAAUGGGUAAAGAAGCACCGGCUAACUACGUG
This 468-nucleotide ribosomal RNA is filed under the name uncultured bacterium. RNAcentral describes it as "partial 16S ribosomal RNA". It matches the Rfam family "Bacterial small subunit ribosomal RNA", at positions 28 to 507 of the family's 1533-position model. The record is from RNAcentral.